This 2930-nucleotide long non-coding RNA is filed under the name Homo sapiens (human). Its description in RNAcentral is "HSALNT0260963". The record is from RNAcentral. Lineage: Eukaryota; Metazoa; Chordata; Mammalia; Primates; Hominidae.
GCCUGUAAUCCAGCACUUUGGGAGGCCAAGGCAGGUAGACUGCCUGAGGCCAGGAGUUCGAGACCAGCCUGACCAACAUAGUGAAACCCUGUCUCUACUAAAAAUACAAAAAAUUACCUGGGCGUGGUGGUGGGGGCCUGUGAUCCCAUCUUUCACUCGCGUCCGUGUGAAGACACCACCAAACAGGCUUUGUGUGAGCAAUAAAGCUUUUAAUCACCUGGGUGCAGGAGGGCUGAGUCCAAAAAGGGAGUCAGCGAAGGGAGAUGGGGUGGAGCUGUUUUAUAGGAUUUGGGUAGGUAAAGGAAAAUUACAGUCAGAGGGGGUUGUUCUCUGGCUGGCAGGGGUGGGGGGUCACAAGGUGCUCAGUGGUGGAGCUUUUGAGCCAGGAUGAGCCAGGAGAAGGAAUUUCACGAGGUAAUGUCAUCAGUUAAGGCAGGGACUGGCCAUUUUCACUUCUUUUGUGGUGGAAUGUCAUCAGUUAAGGCAGGAACAGGCCAUUUUCACUCCUUUUGUGAUUAUUCAGUUACUUCAGGCCAUCUGGAUGUAUACGUGCAGAUCACAGGGGAUAUGAUGGCUUAGCUUGGGCUCAGAGGCCUGACACCAUCUACUCGGAAGGCUGAGGCAGGAGAACUGCUUGAACCCAGGAGGUGAAGGCUGCAGUGAGCCGAGAUCACACCACUGCACUCCAGCUUGGGUGACAGAGCGAGACUCUGUCAAAAAAAAAAAAAGAGAGAGAGAGAGAGAAGGAAAGAAAGAAGAAAGAGAAGGAAGGGAGGGAGGGAGGGAGGAAGGGAGGGAGGGAGGGAGGAAGGAAGGAAGGAGGGAGGGAAAUGCAAGAGCUGUGGUCCUGCUCCAGCCCUGCUGAAUUAGAACCUGCAUUUUAACAAGACCCCCAGGUGAUUCCUGGUCACCUUUAAGGUAUAAGAAGCGCUGAAUGAGUACGUCACCAGGAGACACUGGCCGGUUCCCUUCCUGCUAUCAUCAUGUAGAUGGCGCCCCCUUGUGGAGAUUUUAUUGAGACAAGGUUUGGCUCUACCGCCCUGGCUGGAGUGCAGUGGCGAGAUCUCAGCCAACUGCAGACUCGAACUCCUGGAGCAAUCUUCCCACUUCAGCCUCCCGAGUAGAUUGGACUACAGGCACGCGCCACCAUGCCUGGCUGAUUUUUUUUAUUAUUAUUGGAGAGAUGAGGGGGUGUCUCGCUAUAUUGCUCAAGCUGGUCUUGAACUGCUGGCCUCGGAGAUCCUCCUGCCUCAGCCUCCCAAAGCACUGGGAUUGCAGUCAUAAGCCACUACACCCAGCCAGCCUUCUUCCUUUAUGGCAGGGGGUCUAUCUCUUGUUGGAUUUGAUCAUGGGUGCGUGAUUUGUAAUCAGCUGAAAAUCUGAAAGCACGGCAGAGAUGUUUUCUUGGAAAUAAGCAAUUUGUAUUCUUUUUUUUUUUUUCUAGACAGAGUCUUGCUCUGUCACCCAGGCUGGAGUGCAGUGGUGCAAUCUCGGCUCACUGCAGCCUCCACCUCCCGGAUUCAAACGACUCUCCUGCCUCAGCCUCCCGAGUAGCUGGGUUUACAGGCGUGUGCCACCAUGCCUGGCUAAUUUUUGUAUUUUUAGUAGAGACAGGGUUUUGCCAUGUUGCCCAGGGUGGUCUAGAAUUCCUGACCGCAAGUGAUCCGCCUGUCUGAGCCUCCCAAAGUGCUAGGAUUACAGUCAUGAGCCAUUGCACCUGGCAAUUUUCUCCAUUUUAAUAAGCCCUCCAAGAAGGUAACAAGGUCUUGUGGGCAAAGAAAUACAUAUGAAACUACAUCAACAUCUACAGAAGAGUGGCAGAUUUGCUUGGGUUCCCCAAACGCAGAUUCUGAGACAAUGACUUGGGUGAUGGCAGUUUAUUUGGGAGGUGAUCCCAGGAAGCAGGAGUGAGUUAGAGAACCAAGUCAGAAACAAGGCCAGCAUACCCAGGAGGCCCAAAUAUCUCAGUUGGGCUUGGAAGAAACUAUUCCCAAUGAAGUAGAGCUAAUAAGGCAUGUAAACUACACAUAACAAACAUCCUCAGAGAAAUGACGGAGGAUAAUGGCAAGUCGAAGCGAGAAGAGGAGGUUAUGAAGCAGAAGCUAACGGGAGAUGAGGGAUAUGAAAAACUCAAUUAUUGAAAUAAUUAUGUGUUGGAUGGUGUAUCAGAGGGCAGAAUAGACAGGGCUUUAAAAAUGAAUAAAUGAGGCCAGGCUUGGUGGUUCAGGCCUGUAAUCCCAGCACUUUAGGAGGCUGACACGGGAAGAUCGCUUGAGCCCAGGAGCUCAAAAUUAGCCUGGGCAACACAGCGAAAGCCCAUCUCUAUAAAAAAAUCAAAAAAUUAGCUGGAUGUGGUGGUGCACACCUGUAGUACCAACUACUGGGGAGGCUGAGGUGGGAGGAUUGCUUGAGUCCAGGAGAUCGAGGCUGCAGUGAGCUAUGUUCACACCACUGCACUUCAGCCUGGCGCGGUGGCUCACGCCUGUAAUCCCAACACUUUGGGAGGCCGAGACAGGCGGAUCACGAGGUUAGGAGAUGGAGAUCAUCCUGGCUAACAUGGUGAAACCUUGUCUCUACUAAAAAUACAAAAAAUUACCUGGGCGUGGUAGUGGGCGCCUGUAGUUCCAGCUACUUGGGAGGCUGAGGCAGGAGAAUGGCGUGAACCCAGGAGGUGGAACUCGCAGUGAGCCAAGAUCGCGCAACUGCACUCUAGCCUGGGCGACAGAGCGAGACUCCGUCUCAAAAAAAAAAAAAAAAAAGUGGACGAGAUGAAAAUACUAUUCCAGAAGCACCUGUAAGGGACAGAGAGAGGGAAACUGUAAGGAAAAAGUUAAGAUAUGUAAGCCAGGCAUGGUGGCUCAUGCCUGUAAUCCCAGUGCUUUGGGAGGCCGAGAUGGGUGGAUCACCUGAGGUCAGGAGUUUGAGACCAG